RNAcentral lists this unclassified non-coding RNA (480 nucleotides) under uncultured Acaulospora. Its description in RNAcentral is "SSU rRNA". It matches the Rfam family "Eukaryotic small subunit ribosomal RNA", at positions 569 to 1048 of the family's 1831-position model. Lineage: Eukaryota; Fungi; Glomeromycota; Glomeromycetes; Diversisporales; Acaulosporaceae. The record is from RNAcentral.
AGCAGCCGCGGUAAUUCCAGCUCCAAUAGCGUAUAUUAAAGUUGUUGCAGUUAAAAGCUCGUAGUUGAAUUUCGGGAUUGGCGCAUCGGUCGUGCCUCACGGGGUAUGAACUGGUGCAGUCAAUUUCUCACCUUCUGGAGAACCGCGAUGUCCUUAAUUGGAUGCCGCGGGGAACCAGGACCUUUACUUUGAAAAAAUUGAGUGUUUAAAGCAGGCAUUUUUGCUUGAAUACAUUAGCAUGGAAUAAUAAAAUAGGACGGCAUGGUUCUAUUUUGUUGGUUUCUAGGACCACCGUAAUGAUUAAUAGGGAUAGUUGGGGGCAUUAGUAUUCAAUUGUCAGAGGUGAAAUUCUUGGAUUUAUUGAAGACUAACUACUGCGAAAGCAUUUGCCAAGGAUGUUUUCAUUAAUCAAGAACGAAAGUUAGGGGAUCGAAGACGAUCAGAUACCGUCGUAGUCUUAACCAUAAACUAUGCCGACUA